UUCGUCCUUCUGCUGCCCCCUCUGCAGAGACCGUGAGACAUUCCUUGUCGAAGUGUUCUUUCUGGGGAUCCGAACCCCCAUUAGACUGCCAACAUGGGAGGACAACAAUGCCUUUGCAGAUCUAGGAGAGAGGCACAACACGUGCAAUGCCAGGGAAUGCCUUUACCCAGGAGGCAGGGAGGAGGCAGAGGAAGAGGGGCCCUGGAAGCUGCUCCUGUGCUCCUCCUGUGCUGCCGAGGGCACCCACAGGCGCUGCUCUGGCCUGACAGUGAGGACAACCCACUGGGAGUGUGACAGCUGUGCUGGUCUCGGCACGGCCCCCAGGGAUGAGCUGGAGCUCAAUGGCCCCAGCCUGACCAGACAGUCAGGACUGGAGCCUGCUCAUGGCCUGUCAGAAUCUGAGGCC
Cyanistes caeruleus (blue tit) is the source of this 406-nucleotide non-coding RNA. Lineage: Eukaryota; Metazoa; Chordata; Aves; Passeriformes; Paridae. The record is from RefSeq and is a predicted model, not a curated record.